CUCCUCCAUCUGGUCCACAAGGCUCGAUAUCUCCUCUCGCCCCACGGCGUCGACGGUGCCCUCAGCGUCGAAGGUGUAAAAGACUAUUGAUAGGAUGACAAUAGGAGGACAAGAGAUGCCGCAUUACCUCCCUGGCCUCUUCUUCGGCAAGGAUCUGCAGACACUCGAGAGACCUGCAAUAACUCUCUUAUGUCUCCUCCGGCGCCCCAAACAUGUAGCUAGAACAAC
Molecule: long non-coding RNA, 228 nt
Organism: Lolium rigidum
Lineage: Eukaryota; Viridiplantae; Streptophyta; Magnoliopsida; Poales; Poaceae
Exons: 3
Source: RefSeq, a predicted model, not a curated record